This 115-nucleotide transfer RNA is filed under the name Drepanopeziza brunnea f. sp. 'multigermtubi' MB_m1. Its description in RNAcentral is "Marssonina brunnea f. sp. 'multigermtubi' MB_m1 tRNA". It matches the Rfam family "tRNA". Rfam says of the family: Transfer RNA (tRNA) molecules are approximately 80 nucleotides in length. Their secondary structure includes four short double-helical elements and three loops (D, anti-codon, and T loops). The record is from Rfam by way of RNAcentral. Lineage: Eukaryota; Fungi; Ascomycota; Leotiomycetes; Helotiales; Drepanopezizaceae.
GGACAGGUGGCCGAGUGGUUAUGGCGUGUGACUCAAGAUCUGAUCUUGUCAGCUUCCAAAAGUUGGUGUCUUCUCAUGGGCUCUGCCCGCAGGGGUUCGAAUCCCCUCCUGUUCA